GACUCAAUAGUUCAAUGGUAAGGCAUUCGCCGCAGAGCCAGAGGAUCCUGGGUUCGACCCCCCGAUGGAGUCG
This 73-nucleotide transfer RNA is filed under the name Schistosoma japonicum. RNAcentral's name for it is "tRNA-OTHER". Lineage: Eukaryota; Metazoa; Platyhelminthes; Trematoda; Strigeidida; Schistosomatidae. The record is from RNAcentral.